AAGAAGGAGAGGAAGAAGGAAAGAAAGAAAAGAAAGAAGGGAGAGAAAGAUGAAACCAAGAAUAGAGAGAGAGGGGAGAGAAGAGACCGAUGGAGGUGGCUGGAAAAGUGGCCACCGGCGAGCAAAACUUUGGUGAUCGGAGAGUGGAGGAAGAUCAAGCAUAUGGGAGGGAAAAAUGAUUCACAAAAGACGCUUUGCUGAUGAGGACCUUUCGAGUUCCCUUGUAAACACCUAAAACCAUGUGACUACACCAAUCACCUUGCUCCUAUCAUGGAUUUCAAUCCUUGCAAUGAUGCUGGUCUGGAACCUCAAACUUCAGGAAAACAGCAGCAUUGCUGAAGCAGAUGCUAAGUUUGAGGCAGCAUUUCAUCUGUCAUUUUUUCCAGAAUAUUUUGCACCUCAACACCAGCUAAGGGCUUUGCUUCAAUCCAAUGAGACUUAUUCAUCUCUUCUUGAAGCUCCUCCUUUGAUUCCAGUUUCUAUUGGACCUUAGCAUCAAGCUGAUGUUCCUGAAUGGAACCCAAGGGGUUCUAAGAGCUUCGUGGAUAAUCUGGAUGUGUCAGGCCAUCAAGUUGAACCUGCACCUUCGCCGGAUUUUAGCCUUGUUGUUGAUGAUGAUGAUGAGGAGAAGCUGAGGGGUACUUGUGUCAUUUCAAUGCCUGAUUAUGAAAGGUCCGCCAAUUAUUGCUCUGAAAGAUGUGGAACCAGAAAUGAUUGUAAAUUCAUUAAUAGGGGGUUCUGUUGAUUGUCUCAGACAACAUGUUAUGGAAGCCAGAGAAAAACUUUGGGAAAACCCUGGGGGAAAGAUAUUUGAGGAGUUAGGUUUCUGUGAAAUGGGAGAGAGGUCUCCAAGAGAUGGGCUGAAGAGGAAGAGCAAGCUUUCCAUGAAGUUGUCUUUUCUAACCCUGCAUUGAUGGGGAAGAAUUUCUGGGACCAUCUCUCAUUGGUUUUCCCCUCCGAACAAAGAGGGACCUUGUCAGCUAUUAUUACAAUGUCUUUAUACUACGGAAAUGGGCCAAUCAAAACAGGUUUGAGG
Pistacia vera is the source of this 1036-nucleotide long non-coding RNA. RefSeq lists it as uncharacterized. NCBI's taxonomy places the organism in Eukaryota, Viridiplantae, Streptophyta, Magnoliopsida, Sapindales, Anacardiaceae. The record is from RefSeq and is a predicted model, not a curated record. The transcript has 3 exons.